This 282-nucleotide long non-coding RNA is filed under the name Capsicum annuum. RNAcentral describes it as "long non-coding RNA (CANN_LNC014829)". Lineage: Eukaryota; Viridiplantae; Streptophyta; Magnoliopsida; Solanales; Solanaceae. The record is from RNAcentral.
UUGUAUUAUUUUUUCUGUAUCUAUUACACAGUCUAAGUCUAAAAAGUUAUAAUUUUUAUUAACUAUUUGUUUUGGUGUCCAUUUGUCAUAUUCAUUCUUUAGAUUAUAUCUUUUAAACUUAUUCUUAUAAUAUGUAGGUUUUCUUAUUUUUGAUGUUCUAGGUAUUAUAUUUUCAUCUUCUUUUUUAUCAAGAGUAUUUAUUUCUGUGUUGAUAUUUUCUAAGUUUUCUUCAUUAAUUACUUCUUGUUUUUCAUUGAUUUCUAAAUUUUUUGUAUUUGUUAA